UAACGCGUGGGUAACCUGCCCUAUACACAUGGAUAACAUACUGAAAAGUUUACUAAUACAUGAUAAUAUAUAUUUACGGCAUCGUAGAUAUAUCAAAGUGUUAGCGGUAUAGGAUGGACCCGCGUCUGAUUAGCUAGUUGGUGAGAUAACUGCCCACCAAGGCGACGAUCAGUAGCCGACCUGAGAGGGUGAUCGGCCACAUUGGAACUGAGACACGGUCCAAAUCCUACGGGAGGCAGCAGCG
Molecule: ribosomal RNA, 244 nt
Filed under: uncultured Peptostreptococcus sp.
Lineage: Bacteria; Bacillati; Bacillota; Clostridia; Peptostreptococcales; Peptostreptococcaceae
Description: partial 16S ribosomal RNA
Rfam family: Bacterial small subunit ribosomal RNA
Source: RNAcentral